CAAUGACAAGAAGCUGCCAUCACACAUCUAUGUAGCGGUGUACUGUAACCCGCUAUACUGGAUUUUCUAUCUUCUCCCCCACUGACUCACACCUCAUGCACCAUUCUAUAAAACACACAUUACUACAUAAACUCCCUUGUCGAUAUUGCACCAAAUCAUUAACAAUGGUACAAUAAAAAAUGGGAACAUUAGAACAUUAGUCAUGCUUUUCUCUGGUUUGUUGAUCUUUACUAAAAUACAUCAUUGUAAUGCAAAAUGUAUUAUGAAGCAAUCCAACAGACAGCAGAUAUUGACUGGCCAACACAACAGUCUCACUCACUCACAUCUAGACCUACUGUACACUAGAGCUGGGACGAUAAACCGAAAAUUAUCGACACCGACCAAACAUCUUGGACAUUUUGCUGAUAUCAUUCAUUACGAUAAAUGGGUGAUUCUACGGAAAUGGUGGCUUUCCUGUCCCCCGCCUUAACCCCCAGGGAAAAACACCCCAGAAAUCUGAUAAUGACACUAAAUAAAAUAAAAUAUUGAAGUGUUUUAUUGUUAAUAAACAUAUGUAAGACAGUUAUAUUGCAAAUUAUAUUUUUCAUAUUAGCGUAGAACACGGUCAGCACCAUGAAAAUGGUUGUCCCUCGAGCCAGGAGUCAUGGUUUAGUGACAUAUUUUGAGUCCAAAUAUUUUUUGCUCCAACUUUAAAUGUCAUAAUAUAACUGUUAAGGGAAUUACUUAAAAAAACAAAAAUAUGAACUAAAUAUUAUAAAUAAUUUACAGGGAAUAGCUUUCAUUCAAUUUCAUGUCACUGAUGUUACCCUUAAUAAAAAAAAACACCACUUUGAAAAAAUUCAACAUUCUUGCCGGCUUCUUCCUGGGUCAAAGGUUCAUUGGAGGCGGGGCUGUUUUUAAGAGCAUAUGUGACAGUGCCGGCUAAUGGCCAUGGUCUCUCAACUCCACAUCAAACAGAUGUAAUCGACCCGGAUACCUCAGCUCCACUUCGUCCAGAUGUCAUCGAGGCUCACCACACUGGACAGUGGUGCAUUGUGAACUACGAUGAACAACCAUACCCUGGCGUUAUACUGGAGGUCGAAGAACAUAACAUCAAAGUUAAGUGCAUGCACAGGAAUGGAGUCAACAAGUUCUUCUGGCCAAGCCCAAGAGAUGAUAAACUGGGAUGUUCAGAUUGUGUGUCUGAUGCCAAAGCCGCUGCCAGUGAAGAAAAGAUCAGCUCAGAUUGACCACAGUAUCUGGAAGUACUUGGAGGAGCACCUGAAUGUGUGAAAGUGGCAGUUGUGAACUGGCUACCAGAGAAGAAGGCGUCAGUGGCUGGAAAGCAAUGGAGACUGGCUCGGAGAUGAUAACAGAUGGACGUGACACAAUAACAUGGCAAAGACAAACAUAUGGACAAACUUUUCUAAAGACAAACAUCUCAAGUAAACGUGUAGCUAGUAUGGGAAAUAAUUAGUACAGGAAAAGUGAGUACAGAAAAUAGGCCUAUUCCAUGAACAUGUUUUACUGCAUACAAAAUGUUUGUAUCAGUGCUUUUGGGAAAACUUAGUCUUAGUUUACAUUCAAUGUUGUGUUUCUAUAGUUCUAAUAGAGAUGUUAUGUUUGUACGACAUUGUGUUAAGGAAGACAUUUUAGUCAAUAGGCUUCAUCUUUUGGUCUUAAUCUUUGACCAAUAACCCUCAUUUUAUUGUUCAUAUGAAAUCAACACGUUAUAAAAUGAUUUGUAAUAAAAAAAAUGUUACUAAAUUGAUCAAAUUUGUUUGAAAUAACCGUAUGUUAUGUCAUUGGUUUCACAUUGUGUCACUGGGGUUACAUCGCGCCACUGAUGUUACUUCAUGGCAUAUUGGUGUUCUGGCAUCAGUUGCCCAUUUUCCUAGAAUAUGUUUAUUUGUAUCUACCCAACUGCUGCUGUAAGCAUUAGUAAGCAUUUUAAUUUUGAUGACUCAACCUCAAUUACUUAUGAUGUUACAACAUAAAACACGUGGCAGAAAUAUAAAUGUAGCACAAUAGAACUUUACACAUACCGGUUUAAAGUAAAUUAUUUAUAAUCAAAACAAUUUCUUCAUAUUAGCAUUAACCUUUUCUGUCUGAUUAUAUAUGCAAAUUAAAUUGUGAAAUUACAUUCAGGAAAGCCUGAAUUGUCAUCUAAAAUAUAGGUAACACCAGUGACAAAAAGGCAGCACUUGCAUUUUUUUAUGUAAUGUAUUAAAAAUAUGAAAAUACAUUAA
Coregonus clupeaformis (lake whitefish) is the source of this 2228-nucleotide long non-coding RNA. RefSeq lists it as uncharacterized. The record is from RefSeq and is a predicted model, not a curated record. The transcript is spliced from 2 exons. Lineage: Eukaryota; Metazoa; Chordata; Actinopteri; Salmoniformes; Salmonidae.